AAAAACAAAAAACAUACGAUUUGUAAGAAUGAUAUGUUCUAUAUUCAUGGAAAAUUUGGUAGAAACAGAAUGAAAAGUUGAAGCAUAUUGGUGCUUUUGCAUGCAUUUUUGGCAGGCGUGUGUUGCAGCCUUCGAUCUUUUACGUAUUCCAUGUGGAGCUUCCCCAUGCCGCCAGUUAAUAUAGAAUAGAUGGUUUAGAAAUCGUUAGAAUAGCAGCACUAUAACUCAUUAUCUAUGUUAGUCAACGUUUAUUCAUAAAUGUAUUCCUUCACCGUCACAUAUUGUUU
Non-coding RNA from Paramuricea clavata, 287 nucleotides. Lineage: Eukaryota; Metazoa; Cnidaria; Anthozoa; Malacalcyonacea; Plexauridae. The record is from the annotation of a GenBank genome assembly.